AACGAACGCUGGCGGCAUGCCUAACACAUGCCAGUCGAACGAGACCUUCGGGUCUAGUGGCGCACGGGUGCGUAACGCGUGGGAACCUGCCCUUAGGUUCGGAAUAACUCCCCGAAAGGGGUGCUAAUACCGGAUAAUGUCUUCGGACCAAAGAUUUAUCGCCUUUGGAUGGGCCCGCGUUGGAUUAGCUAGUUGGUAGGGUAAAAGCCUACCAAGGCGACGAUCCAUAGCUGGUCUGAGAGGAUGAUCAGCCACACUGGGACUGAGACACGGCCCAGACUCCUACGGGAGGCAGCAGUGGGGAAUAUUGGACAAUGGGCGAAAGCCUGAUCCAGCAAUGCCGCGUGAGUGAUGAAGGCCUUAGGGCUGUAAAGCUCUUUUACCCGGGAUGAUAAUGACAGUACCGGGAGAAUAAGCGCCGGCUAACUCCGUG
Molecule: ribosomal RNA, 433 nt
Filed under: uncultured bacterium
Lineage: Bacteria
Description: partial 16S ribosomal RNA
Rfam family: Bacterial small subunit ribosomal RNA
Source: RNAcentral